RNAcentral lists this microRNA precursor (84 nucleotides) under Bombyx mori (domestic silkworm). RNAcentral describes it as "mir-2807 microRNA precursor family". It matches the Rfam family "mir-2807 microRNA precursor family". The record is from Rfam by way of RNAcentral. Lineage: Eukaryota; Metazoa; Arthropoda; Insecta; Lepidoptera; Bombycidae.
UUAGCUCAUAUUUGUAUGGAAUAGGAUCGUUUGCGUACUUUUGUCGCUAGGGGCGCUGUUCCAAUUGCAUACAAAAUUGGGUUA